Solea solea (common sole) is the source of this 131-nucleotide small nucleolar RNA. RefSeq annotates it as small nucleolar RNA ACA64. Lineage: Eukaryota; Metazoa; Chordata; Actinopteri; Pleuronectiformes; Soleidae. The transcript has a single exon. The record is from RefSeq and is a predicted model, not a curated record.
UCAGAAUGAAAAUGAUCACAGAUGAAACGGUGAUCUGUGGUCAGAUAACUGAGCCCAAAGUAUUUCUGGCGCGUUAAGCUUAUCACCUGCUUACUUCUUAGCAGUGUGAUAAAACCCAUGUGCCAACAGAA